UGCCAGUGAUAAACUGGAGGAAGGUGGGGAUGACGUCAAGUCAUCAUGGCCCUUACGACCAGGGCUACACACGUGCUACAAUGGCAUAUACAAAGAGAAGCGACCUCGCGAGAGCAAGCGGACCUCAUAAAGUAUGUCGUAGUCCGGAUUGGAGUCUGCAACUCGACUCCAUGAAGUCGGAAUCGCUAGUAAUCGUAGAUCAGAAUGCUACGGUGAAUACGUUCCCGGGCCUUGUACACACCGCCCGUCACACCAUGGGAGUGGGUUGCAAAAGAAGUAGGUAGCUUAACCUUCGGGAGGGCGCUUACCACUUUGUGAUUCAUGACUGGGGUGAAGUCGUAACAAGGUAACCGUAGGGGAACCUGCGGUUGGA
RNAcentral lists this ribosomal RNA (373 nucleotides) under Klebsiella pneumoniae. RNAcentral describes it as "bacterial SSU rRNA". It matches the Rfam family "Bacterial small subunit ribosomal RNA", at positions 1150 to 1522 of the family's 1533-position model. Lineage: Bacteria; Pseudomonadati; Pseudomonadota; Gammaproteobacteria; Enterobacterales; Enterobacteriaceae. RNAcentral also lists the same sequence under 6 other names. The record is from RNAcentral.